AUUGAACGCUGGCGGCAGGCCUAACACAUGCAAGUCGAGCGGAUGAAGGGAGCUUGCUCCUGGAUACAGCGGCGGACGGGUGAGUAAUGCCUAGGAAUCUGCCUGGUAGUGGGGGAUAACGUCCGGAAACGGGCGCUAAUACCGCAUACGUCCUGAGGGAGAAAGUGGGGGAUCUUCGGACCUCACGCUAUCAGAUGAGCCUAGGUCGGAUUAGCUAGUUGGUGGGGUAAAGGCCUACCAAGGCGACGAUCCGUAACUGGUCUGAGAGGAUGAUCAGUCACACUGGAACUGAGACACGGUCCAGACUCCUACGGGAGGCAGCAGUGGGGAAUAUUGGACAAUGGGCGAAAGCCUGAUCCAGCCAUGCCGCGUGUGUGAAGAAGGUCUUCGGAUUGUAAAGCACUUUAAGUUGGGAGGAAGGGCAGUAAGUUAAUACCUUGCUGUUUUGACGUUACCAACAGAAUAAGCACCGGCUAACUUCGUG
This 484-nucleotide ribosomal RNA is filed under the name uncultured bacterium. Its description in RNAcentral is "partial 16S ribosomal RNA". It matches the Rfam family "Bacterial small subunit ribosomal RNA", at positions 30 to 507 of the family's 1533-position model. The record is from RNAcentral.